Molecule: non-coding RNA, 70 nt
Organism: Podarcis lilfordi (Lilford's wall lizard)
Lineage: Eukaryota; Metazoa; Chordata; Lepidosauria; Squamata; Lacertidae
Source: the annotation of a GenBank genome assembly
GCUGUGGCUCAGUGGUAAGAGCAUCUGCUUUGCGUGCAGGAGGUCCCAGGAUCAAUCCCUGGCAGGAACU